GCAUAUCAAUAAGCGGAGGAAAAAGAAAACUAACAAGGAUUCCCCCUAGUAACUGCGAGUGAAGCGGGAAAAGCUCAAAUUUAAAAUCUGGCAGUCUUCGAUUGUCCGAGUUGUAAUCUGGAGAAGUGUUUUCCGCGCUGGACCGUGUACAAGUCUCCUGGAACGGAGCGUCAUAGAGGGUGAGAAUCCCGUCUUUGACACGGACUACCAGUGCUCUGUGAUGCGCUCUCAAAGAGUCGAGUUGUUUGGGAAUGCAGCUCAAAAUGGGUGGUAAAUUCCAUCUAAAGCUAAAUAUUGGCGAGAGACCGAUAGCGAACAAGUACCGUGAGGGAAAGAUGAAAAGCACUUUGGAAAGAGAGUUAAACAGUACGUGAAAUUGCUGAAAGGGAAACGAUUGAAGUCAGUCGCGUUGGCUAGAACUCAGCCUUACCUCGGUAUGGUGUAUUUUCUAGUGAACGGGCCAGCAUCACUUUUGGCUGCCGGAUAAAGGCCAGGGAAAUGUGGCACCUUCGGGUGUGUUAUAGUCUCUGGUUGCAUACGGUGGCUGGGAGUGAGGAUCGCAGCACGCCUUUAUGGCGGGGGUUCGCCCACCAACGUGCUUAGGAUGCUGGCGUAAUGGCUUUAAACGACCCGUCUUGAAACACGGACCAAGGAGUCUAACAUGCCUGCGAGUGUUUGGGUGGGAAAACCCGAGCGCGUAAUGAAAGUGAUAGUUGGGGACCUCUGUCGUGGAGGGCACCGACGCCCGGACCAGACCUUCUGUGACGGAUCCGCGGUAGAAGCAUGUAUGUUGGGACCCGAAAGAUGGUGAACUAUGCCUGAAUAGGGUGGAAGCCAGAGGAAACUCUGGUGGAGGCUCGUAGCGAUUCUGACGUGCAAAUCGAUCGUCAAAUUUGGGUAUAGGGGCGAAAGACU
This 915-nucleotide ribosomal RNA is filed under the name Terana coerulea. Its description in RNAcentral is "partial large subunit ribosomal RNA". It matches the Rfam family "Eukaryotic large subunit ribosomal RNA", at positions 38 to 932 of the family's 3401-position model. The record is from RNAcentral. Lineage: Eukaryota; Fungi; Basidiomycota; Agaricomycetes; Polyporales; Phanerochaetaceae.